This 497-nucleotide ribosomal RNA is filed under the name uncultured bacterium. Its description in RNAcentral is "partial 16S ribosomal RNA". It matches the Rfam family "Bacterial small subunit ribosomal RNA", at positions 28 to 507 of the family's 1533-position model. The record is from RNAcentral.
GAUGAACGCUGGCGGCGUGCCUAAUACAUGCAAGUCGAGCGAACAGACGAGGAGCUUGCUCCUCUGACGUUAGCGGCGGACGGGUGAGUAACACGUGGAUAACCUACCUAUAAGACUGGGAUAACUUCGGGAAACCGGAGCUAAUACCGGAUAACAUGCUGAACCGCAUGGUUCAACAGUGAAAGACGGUUUUGCUGUCACUUAUAGAUGGAUCCCCGUCGCAUUAGCUAGUUGGUAAGGUAACGGCUUACCAAGGCAACGAUGCGUAGCCGACCUGAGAGGGUGAUCGGCCACACGGGAACUGAGACACGGUCAAGACUCCUACGGGAGGCAGCAGUAGGGAAUCUUCCGCAAUGGGCGAAAGCCUGACGGAGCAACGCCGCGUGAGUGAAGAAGGUCUUCGGAUCGUAAAACUCUGUUAUUAGGGAAGAACAAAUGUGUAAGUAACUAUGCACGUCUUGACGGUACCUAAUCAGAAAGCCACGGCUAACUACGUG